Aphis gossypii (cotton aphid) is the source of this 301-nucleotide long non-coding RNA. RefSeq lists it as uncharacterized. The transcript has 2 exons. The record is from RefSeq and is a predicted model, not a curated record. NCBI's taxonomy places the organism in Eukaryota, Metazoa, Arthropoda, Insecta, Hemiptera, Aphididae.
GUAAAGUGUGUAGUUUUUAUAUGAACAAUUCAACAACAUGAACAUUUGUAAAACAUGUCACUCCGAAACAUGUCUUAUGAGAAAAACAAAUUAAGUAGGCGCAAAACGAAUCUCGGACAUUAUGUCGGGGAACACAGAAGCCGUAAACAACAAAAUCCAUAAUAUUGUCUCCUAAUUCAACCCAUCAUUUAUGUUUCGUCUCAUUUCACUCACGUCGUUGUAAGCCAACCAUUAUCAUAUGAUUUUUUUUUCAUUUUACAUAUUUUGUAAGUGCAUAAAUAAAGUCAACUAUAAAUCAUGA